UUCGAACACUGCAGGGGUCACGGUGGUUUCUGAUGAGGUAAGAGAACUUAUCAUUAUUGAGUCUGAUUUCGAGGUUCUGCUCCUUCUGAAGCAUUUGCAGUGCAGAGACCAUUAAUAGUUUAAAAUGUGCGGGUAGGUGGGGGGGGGGGGGGGGGGGUUAUAUUGCAAAACUCUGAUAAGGUUUCACCCAUUCACUUCAACAGGAAAAAAUGUUAUCAACCACAACACAGAUGUUGUGACAUCAUAAUACCCAGUUUCAGUAUAUGCAGAAAGAACCUUUAUCAGCAAUUCUAUUCCUUUAGAUGUUUUUGUGUACAGCACUCAAGCAGUUACUUCAAAAAUUGUUGCUGUUGUUGUAUAAACUCAGAUUUUUCAAAACAGGUCAUUGAUGCAUAUCUGCACCGUGUUAUUGACAGACGAAAGGUAAGUAAGAAAUGUCAUUUACCUACUAAUUUUGAAAUAAAAAAAAAACCCUAUUUACUGUUCUAUAACAUUUUUCUAUACUUGUGCAGAAUGCUGCACACCUGCUCUGUUCAGUAGUUGCAAGCUCGUUGUUUUCUGGGCAGUUCAGAUGCCUCAACUGGUAUGUUGAAAGCUCAGAAGUGGUCCAAACAGUUGACUCCUUUCUGUUGCUGAGGAAAGAGUUCGGUUCCUUUAAAGAAGACUAUAUUUGAAAACACCCUGAGACGCAUGGUACCUAAGUAAAUCCAAAUUACUCUGCACUUCCAAUCCCACAGAUGAAGUUCCCAGUUGAAGACGUGGCUGUGCCCUGUGAACUUUGGUACACACUGGAUUCUUGUGGUAUGUGUUCAUUUUGUUAUUAAUUUGCAUAAUUUGUUGUGAAGCAGUUUCUUGCACAAAGUGUUAUUUUUAAAUAAGUUUUCAGUGGCACAAACAAUUGUAAUUUUUAAUUUAACUUUUUCUUUAGAUUGUCAACAUUUCUGCACAGAAAAUACUGCUCAUAGACCCCAUGGGAAUGAAGGUGUUUAUGACAGGAAAAUUCUGCGCAACUGGAGGUAUGUAUGAUACUGAGGUGUUAUUCUUAGAUUAAAAAAAAAAAAAUCUUGUUUCAUUACAAACACUUUUGUUCAACUAGGAAUUUUCUGAGGAUGAGAGGGCAUGAAGACACCAUGGAGUGGCAGUUACAGACUAUGCAACACAACAAGCGACAGGAUUCCUGCAGUUGUGGAGUUUUACUGUUAAAGGUAACCCUUAUUCAAAUGAUUCAGUUUCUUGUUAGCUAGAAUUAAGACUUUAAGUGAAUUUAAGUGAAGUGAAAGUUAUUUCGGUCAACAACAACAAAGAUGAUCAUUUUACAUAGAAGUACUUAAUCAUACAGUAACUGAAAAAGGAAUAGGCUGAAGCCUUGUGGCUUAUAAUUAUCCUAUCCUUUACCUAAUUAAGACUUUACAUUCUAAUUAUGAUCAAUCUCACAGUUUGCAGAACACUACCUUGAUUUUGGAGAGGUCAGUGAGGUGUCAACCACUACAGAGCCAGUUGUGCUGGAGCGAAUGCAGAUAGCUUGCACCCUACUUGAAAAUCGAGGUAAGUCCAGUAAAGUCCUUAUCACGUUAGUGCGUACUUCCAAUUUAAAUAGUGCUUUUCAAACAGCACAGUACAAAUAGUGCUCUUCAAACACUUUCAGAUAAGACCCUUCUCAAAGUCUAAUUUAGACUAAUUUUCCAGGAAGUAUAUUUGGAAAAAAUGUACUAUUAUUUUUUAAUUAUUCAAUAAAUAAUGUUUGAUUAAAACCUAACUAUGAUUGUGUUUCAGGG
Molecule: long non-coding RNA, 1775 nt
Organism: Astatotilapia calliptera (eastern happy)
Lineage: Eukaryota; Metazoa; Chordata; Actinopteri; Cichliformes; Cichlidae
Source: Ensembl